This 376-nucleotide ribosomal RNA is filed under the name uncultured bacterium. RNAcentral describes it as "bacterial SSU rRNA". It matches the Rfam family "Bacterial small subunit ribosomal RNA", at positions 521 to 896 of the family's 1533-position model. The record is from RNAcentral.
UAAUACGUAGGCAGCAAGCGUUGUUCGGAGUUACUGGGCGUAAAGGGUGUGUAGGCGGCCUGUUAAGUUCCGUGUGAAAUCUCCCGGCUCAACCGGGAGGGUGCGCGGAAAACUGGCGGGCUUCGAGUGCGGGAUGGGAGAGUAGAAUUCCUGGUGUAGCGGUGAAAUGCGUAGAUAUCAGGAGGAAUACCGGUGGUGUAGACGGCUCUCUGGACCGUAACUGACGCUGAGACACGAAAGCGUGGGUAGCAAACAGGAUUAGAUACCCUGGUAGUCCACGCCCUAAACGAUGCAUAUUUGGUGUGGGUCAUUCAGUUGAUCCGUGCCGGAGCUAACGCGUUAAAUAUGCCGCCUGGGGAGUACAGUCGCAAGGCUG